Molecule: small RNA, 1345 nt
Filed under: Sinistroporomonorchis lizae
Lineage: Eukaryota; Metazoa; Platyhelminthes; Trematoda; Plagiorchiida; Monorchiidae
Description: SSU rRNA
Rfam family: Eukaryotic small subunit ribosomal RNA
Source: RNAcentral
UGCAGCCGCGGUAACUCCAGCUCCAGAAGCGUAUAUUAAAGUUGUUGCAGUUAAAAAGCUCGUAGUUGGAUCUGGGUCGCAUGGCUACAUGCUGUUGCUUGUUCACAGGGCUUUGGUCUUGCGUGCGAGCCGGCGUCGUGGUUGUGCAGCCUUUCUGCCGUGUCUGUUUCGACAGGUGCUGAAUCAAUUGGUGAAAGCUGAUUGCUCGGCAUGCUUCCAGAUGCCUUUAACCGGGUGUCGGGGGCGGACGGCACGUUUACUUUGAACAAAUUUGAGUGCUCAAAGGGGGCCACUGGGCCUGUAAAUUCUUGCAUGGAAUAAUGGAAUAGGACUUCGGUUCUAUUUUGUUGGUUUUCGGAUCCGAAGUAAUGGUUAAGAGGGACAGACGGGGGCAUUUGUAUGGCGGUGUUAGAGGUGAAAUUCUUGGAUCGCCGCCAGACAAACUACAGCGAAAGCAUUUGCCAAGGAUGUUUUCAUUGAUCUGGAGCGAAAAGUCAGAGGUUCGAAAGACGAUCAGAUACCGUCCUAGUUCUGACCAUAAACGAUGCCAACUGACGAUCCGUGGUGGUUUAUUGAUUGUCCCCACGGGCAGUCCCCGGGAAACCCUUAAGUCUUUGGGCUCCGGGGGAAGUAUGGUUGCAAAGCUGAAACUUAAAGGAAUUGACGGAAGGGCACCACCAGGAGUGGAGCCUGCGGCUUAAUUCGACUCAACACGGGAAAACUCACCCGGCCCGGACACUGUGAGGAUUGACAGAUUGAUAGCUCUUUCUUGAUUCGGUGGUUGGUGGUGCAUGGCCGUUCUUAGUUGGUGGAGCGAUUUGUCUGGUUAAUUCCGAUAACGAACGAGACUUUGGCCUGCUAAAUAGAGUGCCUGUCCCCUGUGCCUGUCCAGAUUGCGUUCUUUGUUGCUCUUCGGGGUAAUGGGAUCGUUUAUCGGCGGGUGCUAUGCGGGUAUAUACUUCUUAGAGGGACAAGCGGCGAAAGAGUCGCACGAAAAUGAGCAAUAACAGGUCUGUGAUGCCCUUAGAUGUCCGGGGCCGCACGUGCGCUACAAUGACGGUUCCAAAUAGUAUGCAAACCUGGCUUGAAAAGGUUGGGUAAACUGUAUCAUAACCGUCGUGACUGGGAUCGGGGCUUGCAAUUGUUCCCCGUGAACGAGGAAUUCCUGGUAAGUGCAAGUCAUUAACUUGCGCUGAUUACGUCCCUGCCCUUUGUACACACCGCCCGUCGCUACUACCGAUUGAAUGGUUUAGCAAGGUCAUCGGAUUGGUGCCAUUGUAGUUGUUCCAACUCGAACGGUGCUGAGAAGACGACCGAACUUGAUCAUUUAGAGGAAGUAAAAGUC